RNAcentral lists this ribosomal RNA (492 nucleotides) under uncultured bacterium. RNAcentral's name for it is "partial 16S ribosomal RNA". It matches the Rfam family "Bacterial small subunit ribosomal RNA", at positions 29 to 507 of the family's 1533-position model. The record is from RNAcentral.
AGUGAACGCUGGCGGUAGGCCUAACACAUGCAAGUCGAACGGCAGCACAGUAAGAGCUUGCUCUUACGGGUGGCGAGUGGCGGACGGGUGAGGAAUACAUCGGAAUCUACUUUUUCGUGGGGGAUAACGGAGGGAAACUUACGCUAAUACCGCAUACGACCUACGGGUGAAAGCAGGGGAUCUUCGGACCUUGCGCGAUUGAAUGAGCCGAUGUCGGAUUAGCUAGUUGGCGGGGUAAAGGCCCACCAAGGCGACGAUCCGUAGCUGGUCUGAGAGGAUGAUCAGCCACACUGGAACUGAGACACGGUCCAGACUCCUACGGGAGGCAGCAGUGGGGAAUAUUGGACAAUGGGCGCAAGCCUGAUCCAGCAAUACCGCGUGAGUGAAGAAGGCCUUCGGGUUGUAAAGCCCUUUUGUUGGGAAAGAAAAGCAGCAGGUUAAUACCCCGCUGUUCUGACGGUACCCAAAGAAUAAGCACCGGCUAACUUCGUG